CUGAACCCAGAGGGGAGGUUUGUCAGGCAAAAAGGAUCUUGCAGCAGAGUAACAACAGAAGCAAGAACAACCAGCUCUGCCCUGUGUACACCCCUUAACAACAACCAAGGCUCUGUCACAAUGCCACACAUCACUGUGAGGUAGACAGAGCAAGGGUAAUCCUUAUCCCAUCUUACAGAUGAGUAAACUGAGGGUUAGAGCAUAAUGUGACUUUCCUAAAGACAGACACAGCUAGCUAGUGGCCCAGCUGAGGCCACAGCCCCGUCACCAGACUUGAUUAGAUCUCUGUCAACCACAUCCCAGCAGCCAAAUGCUCCCUCCUUUUGCCCUCCUGCGGGGCCACGCAGCACACACCACAACCCCUUGGUCCACUGUGGUCUAGGCAAGAGCAGAAGAGUCCAAAAGCAGAUGACUAUCAUCUUCCAUUUGUCUUGGUGCCUGAGGACACCUUCAAACCUUCUCUGCUCCGUUGUAGAACUUUUUCCAGCAAGGGGGAGAGGAAGGACAAAAGGCUAUGCCUUGGGCUCCAAAGUUUAGGAGAGGAGCCAUGGAGAUGGACAGAGAGAGAUCCCAUUGUCUCUGGACACUGCUGGCCAAGGGCCUCCACCUCAGGAGCUGCUGCCUCUCAUCCACUUCCGGGGCGGGGGUAAUGGAAGCUCCCUACCGCCAAGCACCACGACCCUCCCCUGCCUUCUCCAGGCCUAAGGGUCAAGCUGCCAGGCCACCAGGCAGUGCCAGAUACUUACAGCAUGCCUACUGUGUGCAAAAUGCCAUGCUGAAGGCUGUCAGGUCUUGAAAGGUGAUGAUUCAGCAGAGGAUGCUGUUUGUGCCUCACCCCGUGUCCUCUAGCCCACUUCUCCACUCAUCUGCCACUGUGAUGGGAAGGUGUCAGCAAGCCCAGGAAUUGUCCACCCUAAGCAGCCUUUCUGCUUCUCACCUGCAGAGUUUCUCCAGUGCAGGGGCCAAGAGAGCUUUACUCAGCCCACAGGACAGCUGGGAUUUAACACUGCAGGGGCAACCCUCAAGUUAUUAAUAAGAGAUAAGAAUGGGUGGAUAAGCAACCUGGCUGCCUUGGAACUCCGUGGGACAAUUCCAUGGUGUGUUCUCACAGUUCCUCAGUGGGCCCCCAUUGCCCACAAUGAAACUCGAUCAUUAACCACUCUUCACUGGCUUUUCUCCUAACCCAUCCCUAUCUCACUUCCCCUUUCCCUCCCUCCAGCCUCCAGAGAUCACCUCCUCAGUAAACUACCUGCACCCAAGUUCUUGUCUCAGGGUCUGAUUUCAGGAGAAACCAAACUAGGACAUGCAGAGACACGCGUGCACACACACACACACACGCACACAUCUCUGUGAAAAGAUGAGGCACAGAGAAGAAUCAUUCCCAGUCAUGACUGGAUGGCACCAAUAAUAAAGGCUGACACGUCCAAAGCUCUAAGACUGUG
Pan troglodytes (chimpanzee) is the source of this 1442-nucleotide long non-coding RNA. NCBI's taxonomy places the organism in Eukaryota, Metazoa, Chordata, Mammalia, Primates, Hominidae. The record is from Ensembl.